Pygocentrus nattereri (red-bellied piranha) is the source of this 836-nucleotide long non-coding RNA. RefSeq lists it as uncharacterized. The transcript is spliced from 6 exons. The record is from RefSeq and is a predicted model, not a curated record. NCBI's taxonomy places the organism in Eukaryota, Metazoa, Chordata, Actinopteri, Characiformes, Serrasalmidae.
GCUCCCCCGUGAUUCUGUUUGUACCUGUUGGACUCGGACUUUGUAGCAUUGUUGUUUUUCUCACUGUAGUUUUGUGGAGAAGGCUGUUUUAUGAGAGCUGCAGAAAGAGGCAUGGUGAAAAUAAGGAUCAAGAAAUCUAUGUGAAUGUACGUCAAACAGGCGCCAGCACUGCUCCUCCUAGUGAUGAUGAAUCCAAUUCUCCUGUAUACGCGAAUGUUACUAACGUAAACCAAACAGACUGCUGCACCCCUGCUCCUAGCGAUGGAGGAUCCAUUCAUCUUGUGUACGCAAAUGUUGAUAACGUAAACCAAACAGACUGCUGCACCCCUGCUCCUAGCGAUGGAGGAUCCAUUCAUCUUGUGUACGCAAAUGUUGAUACUUUGAUGAAGUAACUGAGAGACCAGUGCCAUCAAUUAUAACCACAGGACACAACCCAGAACUGCAUCAAUGAUCCAAAGGACAGCUGAGACAGACAGCACUAACUGAACUAAAAGCAUCAAACUGUUACAUGCUUCUUUUUUUUAUUCAUUAUUUCUACAUUUUUUAAAUAGAAAUCUUUCCAUUUUUAAACGCAAAUUGCUCAUAAAAGCUUAGUGGUAUGAUUAGCUGCUGAAUGCCUUUUAUCUCCACUCUUUAAUAUUAAGGUGCCAAAGAAGAAAGUUUUUAUUAUAUGGCAUCAGUCCAAAGAACCCAUUCUGGCACCUUCAUUUUUAAAUGUCUAUGAUCUGUACAGCUUGAGUUUAAAUUUGUUGGUCAUAUUUUCCAACAUCUGUUUAAUGCCAAAGUUUUGUCUCUACACUUCUGUAUGUUUCUAUAAUUAAAGCUAUAUAACAAUA